GACCCUGUAACUCAGUUGGUUAGAGUGUGGAGCUAAUACUAUCGUGUUACUCCAAAGUCGCCAGUUCGAGCCUGGUCAGGGUCA
Molecule: transfer RNA, 84 nt
Filed under: Malassezia pachydermatis
Lineage: Eukaryota; Fungi; Basidiomycota; Malasseziomycetes; Malasseziales; Malasseziaceae
Rfam family: tRNA
About the family: Transfer RNA (tRNA) molecules are approximately 80 nucleotides in length. Their secondary structure includes four short double-helical elements and three loops (D, anti-codon, and T loops).
Source: Rfam by way of RNAcentral